GGUGGGGUUCCCGAGCGGCCAAAGGGAGCAGACUGUAAAUCUGCCGUCAUCGACUUCGAAGGUUCGAAUCCUUCCC
RNAcentral lists this transfer RNA (76 nucleotides) under Escherichia coli. RNAcentral's name for it is "tRNA-Tyr". It matches the Rfam family "tRNA". From Rfam's summary of the family: Transfer RNA (tRNA) molecules are approximately 80 nucleotides in length. Their secondary structure includes four short double-helical elements and three loops (D, anti-codon, and T loops). Lineage: Bacteria; Pseudomonadati; Pseudomonadota; Gammaproteobacteria; Enterobacterales; Enterobacteriaceae. The record is from RNAcentral.